GGAGGGGAGAGGGGGGGAGGGGGCGGGUGGGGAGAGAAGCAGCAGAGUCACUUCACCGACCAGACGCCGCGGCCACCGCCGACGCCGCCGCCAUUUUAACAGAGCGCUCGGGCUGCGCUCGGCUCUUUCCGCCCGGGCUUAGGAGCGGACGAGAGGCGCCUCGCGCUCUCAUUCCUCCGCCUCCCUCCCUUUCUCGCCUCUCCUCCGCCCCCCACCUCUCCCUCCGCACACACGCCGCACGCUCCACACCCCGCCGUGGCCGGCUCGCCGCCCUCCCUUUCCUCUUCCGUCCGGCCUCCCCGCCCUCGGUCCACCCCCUCCGCGCGCUCGCCCACCCCGCCCAGCCCGGAUCUCUGUCAGCGGCCGGAAGGGAAACGCGAAGCCAGCGCGGCCGCGGGGGGAGUCCGGGUGAGUAGGAGAAGAUGGCGGAGGCAACGGACGGGUCGCGGUUGCGUGGCGUCGCCCACCACGACCCACUCCACGGGCUCUGAGGCCCGGGGAGCGCCAGGUCACUCGCUCCGUCCUGUCCCCCGCCCCUGGGCUUCGCCAUUUUUCCCCAGGGCCUGGGUCGGGGAGUUGGUGCGGGUUUCUUUGGUGUCCCCGGCCUCUUCCGCGCUUAGGCUUUUGGGGUACGGGAAGCAAGGAGUCAACUUGGGUGCCGGGCCGGGUCUACGCCGUAGCCCUCUUUCGGGCGCAAGGGCCACUCCCCCCGGGGUCUGAGAGUGAAUCAGCCCAGGGCCCGGCUUAACUGCAUCGGUGAUUAUCGCUACCCUGCAGUUCCUUGAAGGUCCUCCGUCCUGGAGCAGUAAGAUCCUUGACGUAACUAGAAAUGGCAGGGUAAGGAGUGUUUGCCUGACAUCGUCUCGUUUUUACGGAAGAGGGCCCCUCACGAUGUGCCCAUCAGCCCCACCUGAAAUAGCAAGAAAUCUUCUUCAGCAGAGAGCGAAUAACAAGGAUAUUAAGAUAAAGAACAGGUGAAGGGGGCAGUCAGCUGAAGCUUGUAAGGGAAUUUUCCUCACGCCGGCACUUACCCCUUGCUUGCUAAUUUUUGUGUUCAACGUGUUUACAUAGACAUGUGACUGCAAAGUCCGAAAGAUCGUGUACAGAAUCUCUGAACGGUAACCAGAGUGUCUGUCAAGGCUCUGUAGUCAUUCUCUCGAUAGCUUUUGUGGAGGUUAUGGCACGCCCAUCUCUCCAUGCCAGAACCACCUGGUUCCAAAUGCUUUGCCUUUCUGCUGCUUGAAGUUGAUACUAUAAACAGUCUGCCCAACCCGUUUUGUUUCCCACUAGCAGGUGAUCCUUAGGAUUGUAGUUCUAUUCUACCAUCAUCUUCCCUUCUUCCUUGUCUUUCUCACAGAAUUGGGUUUUUGCAGACUUACUUUGGAUCCUGAGGCAGACAUUCGUUGUCCACUCAACAUACAUUCCCACGUAUCCCUUUUUUCCCUGCCAACACAACCCCAAUUAUUUUUAUUUGAAUUUUUUUUUUUUGAGACAAAGUCUCACUCUGUCGCCAAGGUUAGAGUGCAGUGGUGCGAUCACAGUUCACUACAGCCUCCACUUUAUGGGCUCAAGGGAUCCUCCCACUUCCCUAGUAGCUGGGGCUACAGGCGCUCUCCACCACACGUAACUAAUUGUUUUUUAUUUUUAGUAGGGACAGGGUCUUGCUAUGUUACCCAGGCUGGUCUCAAACUCCUGGCCUCAACUGAUCCUCCGGCCCAAAAUGUUAGGAUUACAGGUAUGAGCCAACGUGCUGGUCUCACGUUUUUUCAGGUAGCAGUUGAAACCAACCAUCAUGGUGAUCUGGCUUUUCUAGGGCUGGCCAUACAUAAUUGAGUUCCUCCUGAUAAAAGGUAAGCAACAAUCCUGAGAAACAUAGUGGGAGCCCUGUGUCUACAAAAAUUUAAAAGGUGGCUGGGCGCGUUGGCUCACUCCUGAAAUCCCGCACUUAGGGAGGCUGAGGUGAGCAAAUCACCUGAGGUCGGGAGCUCUAGACCGGCCUGACCAACAUGGACAAAGCUCAUCUCUGCUAAAAAUACAAAAUUAGGCAUGGUGGUGCAUGCCUGUAAUCCCAG
Molecule: long non-coding RNA, 2072 nt
Filed under: Homo sapiens (human)
Lineage: Eukaryota; Metazoa; Chordata; Mammalia; Primates; Hominidae
Description: non-protein coding lnc-C2orf74-5:1
Source: RNAcentral